CAGGACGAACGCUGGCGGCGUGCCUAAUACAUGCAAGUCGAACGAACUCUGGUAUUGAUUGGUGCUUGCAUCAUGAUUUACAUUUGAGUGAGUGGCGAACUGGUGAGUAACACGUGGGAAACCUGCCCAGAAGCGGGGGAUAACACCUGGAAACAGAUGCUAAUACCGCAUAACAACUUGGACCGCAUGGUCCGAGNUUGAAAGAUGGCUUCGGCUAUCACUUUUGGAUGGUCCCGCGGCGUAUUAGCUAGAUGGUGNGGUAACGGCUCACCAUGGCAAUGAUACGUAGCCGACCUGAGAGGGUAAUCGGCCACAUUGGGACUGAGACACGGCCCAAACUCCUACGGGAGGCAGCAGUAGGGAAUCUUCCACAAUGGACGAAAGUCUGAUGGAGCAACGCCGCGUGAGUGAAGAAGGGUUUCGGCUCGUAAAACUCUGUUGUUAAAGAAGAACAUAUCUGAGAGUAACUGUUCAGGUAUUGACGGUAUUUAACCAGAAAGCCACGGCUAACUACG
Molecule: ribosomal RNA, 515 nt
Filed under: Lactiplantibacillus plantarum
Lineage: Bacteria; Bacillati; Bacillota; Bacilli; Lactobacillales; Lactobacillaceae
Description: bacterial SSU rRNA
Rfam family: Bacterial small subunit ribosomal RNA
Source: RNAcentral